AGUGGGAAUAUUGCACAAUGGGCGCAAGCCUGAUGCAGCAACGCCGUGUGAGUGAAGAAGGUUUUCGGAUCGUAAAAACUCUGUCCUAAGGGAAGAAACAAAUGACGGUACCUUAGGAGGAAGCCCCGGCUAACUACGUGCCAGCAGCCGCGGUAAUACGUAGGGGCAAGCGUUAUCCGGAAUCACUGGGCGUAAAGGGUGCGUAGGCGGCUUAGCAAGCCAGGGGUGAAAAGGCAUUGGCUCAACCAAAUGUAAGCCUUUGGAAACUGUUAAGCUUGAGUGCAGGAGAGGUAAGUGGAAUUCCUAGUGUAGAGGUGAAAAUUCGUAGAUAUUAGGAGGAACACCAGUGGCGAAGGCGACUUACUGGACUGUAACUGACGCUGAUGCACGAAAGCGUGGGUAGCGAACAGGAUUAGAUACCCUGGUAG
This 428-nucleotide ribosomal RNA is filed under the name uncultured bacterium. RNAcentral's name for it is "bacterial SSU rRNA". It matches the Rfam family "Bacterial small subunit ribosomal RNA", at positions 353 to 793 of the family's 1533-position model. The record is from RNAcentral.